GACGAACGCUGGCGGCGUGCUUAACACAUGCAAGUCGAACGGAAAGGCCCUGCUUUUGUGGGGUGCUCGAGUGGCGAACGGGCGAGUAACACGUGAGUAACCUGCCCUUGACUUUGGGAUAACUUCAGGAAACUGGGGCUAAUACCGGAUAGGAGCUCCUGCUGCAUGGUGGGGGUUGGAAAGUUUCGGCGGUUGGGGAUGGACUCGCGGCUUAUCAGCUUGUUGGUGGGGUAGUGGCUUACCAAGGCUUUGACGGGUAGCCGGCCUGAGAGGGUGACCGGCGACAUUGGGACUGAGAUACGGCCCAGACUCCUACGGGAGGCAGAAGUGGGGAAUAUUGCACAAUGGGCGGAAGCCUGAUGCAGCAACGCCGCGUGCGGGAUGACGGCCUUCGGGUUGUAAACCGCUUUCGCCUGUGACGAAGCGUGAGUGACGGUAAUGGGUAAAGAAGCACCGGCUAACUACGUG
Molecule: ribosomal RNA, 468 nt
Filed under: uncultured bacterium
Lineage: Bacteria
Description: partial 16S ribosomal RNA
Rfam family: Bacterial small subunit ribosomal RNA
Source: RNAcentral